UGAAGUUCAGGUAACACUGAAUGGAGGACCGAACCGACUUACGUUGAAAAGUGAGCGGAUGAACUGAGGGUAGCGGAGAAAUUCCAAUCGAACCUGGAGAUAGCUGGUUCUCUCCGAAAUAGCUUUAGGGCUAGCCUCAAGUGAUGAUUAUUGGAGGUAGAGCACUGUUUGGACGAGGGGCCCCUCUCGGGUUACCGAAUUCAGACAAACUCCGAAUGCCAAUUAAUUUAACUUGGGAGUCAGAACAUGGGUGAUAAGGUCCGUGUUCGAAAGGGAAACAGCCCAGACCACCAGCUAAGGUCCCAAAAUAUAUGUUAAGUGGAAAAGGAUGUGGCGUUGCCCAGACAACUAGGAUGUUGGCUUAGAAGCAGCCAUCAUUUAAAGAGUGCGUAAUAGCUCACUAGUCGAGUGACACUGCGCCGAAAAUGUACCGGGGCUAAACAUAUUACCGAAGCUGUGGAUUGUCCUUUGGACAAUGGUAGGAGAGCGUUCUAAGGGCGUUGAAGCAUGAUCGUAAGGACAUGUGGAGCGCUUAGAAGUGAGAAUGCCGGUGUGAGUAGCGAAAGACGGGUGAGAAUCCCGUCCACCGAUUGACUAAGGUUUCCAGAGGAAGGCUCGUCCGCUCUGGGUUAGUCGGGUCCUAAGCUGAGGCCGACAGGCGUAGGCGAUGGAUAACAGGUUGAUAUUCCUGUACCACCUAUA
RNAcentral lists this ribosomal RNA (702 nucleotides) under Staphylococcus aureus. Its description in RNAcentral is "partial 23S ribosomal RNA". It matches the Rfam family "Bacterial large subunit ribosomal RNA", at positions 746 to 1452 of the family's 2925-position model. Lineage: Bacteria; Bacillati; Bacillota; Bacilli; Caryophanales; Staphylococcaceae. The record is from RNAcentral.